RNAcentral lists this ribosomal RNA (421 nucleotides) under uncultured bacterium. RNAcentral describes it as "partial 16S ribosomal RNA". It matches the Rfam family "Bacterial small subunit ribosomal RNA", at positions 360 to 773 of the family's 1533-position model. The record is from RNAcentral.
AAUAUUGGACAAUGGGCGAAAGCCUGAUCCAGCCAUGACGCGUGUGUGAAGAAGGACUUCGGAUUGUAAAGCACUUCAAGUCGGGAGGAAGGGCAGUAAGUUACUACCUUGCUGUUUUGACGUUACCGACAUAAUCAGCACCGGCUACAUUCGUGUCCGCAGCCGCGGUAAUACGAAGGGUGCAAGCGUUAAUCGGAAUUACUGGGCGUAAAGCGGACGUAGGUGGUUUGUUAAGUUGGAAGGUAAAGCCCCGGGCUCAACCUGGGAACUGCUUUCAUAACUGCUGAGCUAGAGUACGGUAGAGGGUAGUGGAAUUUCCUGUGUAGCGGUGAAAUGCGUAGAUAUAGGAAGGAACACCAGUGGCGAAGGCGACUACCUGGACUGAUACUGACACUGAGGUGCGAAAGCGUGGGGAGCAAAC